Molecule: non-coding RNA, 57 nt
Filed under: Enterococcus faecalis Merz96
Lineage: Bacteria; Bacillati; Bacillota; Bacilli; Lactobacillales; Enterococcaceae
Description: pemK RNA
Rfam family: pemK RNA
Source: RNAcentral
AUAAUGAUACUUCUGUGAAGCUCGCCAUAAAAAGGGGAGAGGUGAAAAAUCCUAUGA